GCCGCGGCUGCCCCGAGCGUCUCCCGGGCCGAGCUGCCCUCCAGCGCCCGGGCCCGCGGCGGCCGCACGGAGCCUGCGAGCGGGGGCGGCCAUGCAGGAGCCGCUGCUGGGGGCCGAGGGCCCGGACUAUGACACCUUCCCCGAGAAGGCGUCCCCGUCGCCGGGGGAGAGGACGCGGGGCGGGGCCCCACAGAACAGGAGGGUGUUCCUGGCCACCUUUGCCGCGGUGCUGGGCAACUUCAGCUUCGGGUACGCCCUGGUCUACACGUCCCCUGUCAUCCCGGCCCUGGAGCACUCCUUGGACCCGGACCUGAUCCUGACCAAAACCCAGGCAUCCUGGUUUGGGUCCAUAUUCACCUUGGGUGCAGCGGCUGGAGGCCUCAGCGCCAUGGUCCUCAACGACCUCCUGGGCCGGAAGCUCAGCAUCAUGUUCUCAGCUGUGCCGUCGGCAGCCGGCUACGCGCUCAUGGCAGGUGCCCACGGCUUCUGGAUGCUGCUGCUGGGGAGGACGCUGACAGGCUUUGCUGGGGGGCUCACAGCUGCCUGCAUCCCGGUGUACGUGUCUGAGAUCGCUACUCCAGGUGUUCGUGGGGCUCUGGGGGCCACACCCCAGCUCAUGGCCGUGUUCGGAUCUCUGUCCCUCUACGCCCUUGGCCUCCUGCUGCCGUGGCGCUGGCUGGCCGUGGCGGGGGAAGGGCCGGUGCUCGUCAUGCUCCUGCUGCUCAGCUUCAUGCCCGACUCGCCUCGCUUCCUGCUCUCACGGGGCAGGGACGCGGAGGCGCUGCGGGCGCUGGCCUGGCUCCGCGGGACCGGCACGGACAUCCGCUGGGAGUUCGAGCAGAUCCAGGACAACGUCCGCAGACAGAGCACCCACAUGUCGUGGGCCGAGGCCCGGAGCCCCCACAUGUACCGACCCGUCCUCAUCGCCUUGCUCAUGCGCUUCCUGCAGCAGCUGAUGGGUAUCACUCCCAUCCUGGUCUAUCUGCAGCCCAUCUUCGAAAGCACCGCCGUCCUGCUGCCCCCAAAGGACGAUGCGGCCAUUGUGGGGGCCGUGAGGCUCUUCUCCGUGCUGAUCGCCGCCGUCACCAUGGACCUGGCCGGCCGCAAGGUUCUGCUGUUUGUCUCGGCCACCAUCAUGUUUGCAGCCAACCUGACGCUCGGGCUGUACGUCCACUUCGGUCCAAAGCCUCUGACUCCCAACAGCACCGUGGGCCUCGAGAGCGUGCCCUUGGGGGACACAGAGCCGCCCCUGGCCACCUCGUCCAGCUACCUCACCCUCGUGCCCCUGGUGGCCACCAUGCUGUUCAUCACUGGCUACGCCAUGGGCUGGGGACCCAUCACCUGGCUCCUCAUGUCGGAGAUCCUGCCGCUGCAAGCCCGCGGCGUGGCCUCGGGGCUCUGCGUCCUCGUCAGUUGGCUCACCGCCUUUGCCCUCACCAAGUCCUUCCUGCUGGUGGUGAGGACACGGCCACGGAGGGCUGCACACAGGGACAGCGCCGUUUCGUUCAGAUCUGCUUAGUCAUCACGGAGCAACUUGAUGCCAGCGAGGAAGAGAGACCCGCAGCUCUGAAAGCUUGUGGGCGCUGCAGGGGGCAUUCUGGACCCCCACAGGCCAGGGCCCAGGACCCAGCACUGACACUUCCUCCUGCCCCUACCCAAUCUCUGGAAACGGGGCUUAAGGGCUCCCGUCCGCAAACUGUGUCCUCCCUGUUUUUGUCACAGUCAGUCAGGCUCUUGGCCUGGGGAGUGACAUGAUGGGGUCUCCUGCAAAUGGGGGAGCCCACCCAGCAGCCAGGCUCAGCUAGUUCCAAACCCUCUGCCACAGUCACUAGGGCCUACCGGCCCAGGCAGGGCCCCCUCUGUGGGCUGCAGGACGGCUCUGUCCCACAGGCUCCAGCCCUCCCCAGCUGUGUGCCCUGGGCAAGCCAUGCUCCUCAGCUGAGAGGCUGUGAACAGGAGUGGGCCAGGGCCAGCCACACGGAAGGUCAAUAAAACGGCAGUUACUCCC
RNA transcript from Mustela erminea (ermine), 2008 nucleotides. It is a transcript of the gene named solute carrier family 2 member 6, with no coding region annotated. The transcript is spliced from 12 exons. Lineage: Eukaryota; Metazoa; Chordata; Mammalia; Carnivora; Mustelidae. The record is from RefSeq and is a predicted model, not a curated record.